AAACCAACAGGGAUUGCCCUAGUAACGGCGAGUGAAGCGGCAACAGCUCAAAUUUGAAAUCUGGCUUCGGCCCGAGUUGUAAUUUGCAGAGGAUGCUUCUGGCGCGGUGCCUUCCGAGUUCCCUGGAACGGGACGCCACAGAGGGUGAGAGCCCCGUAUGGUCGGACACCAAGCCUGUGUGAAGCUCCUUCGACGAGUCGAGUAGUUUGGGAAUGCUGCUCUAAAUGGGAGGUAAAUCUCUUCUAAAGCUAAAUACCGGCCAGAGACCGAUAGCGCACAAGUAGAGUGAUCGAAAGAUGAAAAGCACCUUGAAAAGGGGGUUAAAUAGUACGUGAAAUUGUUGAAAGGGAAGCACUUAUGACCAGACUUGGGCCGGGCGGCUCAUCAGGGGUUCUCCCCUGUGCACUCCGCCCGGCACAGGCCAGCAUCGGUUCUCGUGGGGGGAUAAGACCGUCAGGAACGUAGCACCCUCCGGGGUGUGUUAUAGCCUGGCGGACGAUACCCUCGUGGGGACCGAGGUUCGCGCUCCGCAAGGAUGCUGGCGUAAUGGUCAUCAGUGAC
This 561-nucleotide ribosomal RNA is filed under the name uncultured fungus. RNAcentral describes it as "eukaryotic LSU rRNA". It matches the Rfam family "Eukaryotic large subunit ribosomal RNA", at positions 62 to 648 of the family's 3401-position model. The record is from RNAcentral. Lineage: Eukaryota; Fungi.